UACGUAGGGGGCAAGCGUUGUCCGGAGUUACUGGGCGUAAAGCGCACGCAGGCGGUCUCUUAAGUUUGGAGUGACAGUUGGUGGCUUAACUGCCAAAGUGCUUCGAAAACUGAGAGACUUGAGGGCUUCAGAGGGACACGGAAUUCCGGGUGGAGUGGUGAAAUGCGUAGAGAUCCGGAGGAACACCAAAGGCGAAGGCAGUGUCCUGGGGAGUACCUGACGCUCAGGUGCGAAAGCCAGGGGAGCGAACAGG
This 253-nucleotide ribosomal RNA is filed under the name uncultured bacterium. RNAcentral describes it as "partial 16S ribosomal RNA". It matches the Rfam family "Bacterial small subunit ribosomal RNA", at positions 524 to 776 of the family's 1533-position model. The record is from RNAcentral.